Long non-coding RNA from Oncorhynchus tshawytscha (Chinook salmon), 423 nucleotides. The record is from Ensembl. Lineage: Eukaryota; Metazoa; Chordata; Actinopteri; Salmoniformes; Salmonidae.
GGUACUCUGAGGUGAAGGAGCUGGUCAGAUCCCGGGGGAAGGCUGAAGUGAGUCGGGAUGAAGGACUGUUGAAGCAACUGGACCAGGAGAUGGCUGAGCUGAGGAGGAGAGACGCCAAGCUGGAGCAGCUCUCAAACACAGAAGACAACAUCCAAUUCCUCCAGAGUUUCCAGUCUUUCUAUGUCCCUCUGUUACCCAGCAUCACUGUCAACCAACAUGUCUUCUUUGAGGAUGUAAAGAAAUCAGUCUCUGAGCUGAAAAGUCAAGUUAAAAAGAUCUGCUCUGGGAGUAUUGCCAAGAUCUCUGUAAAAAUUACAAAAGUCUGCAUUGUUCGAUCUUCUGAGCCCCGUUGUCUUCCGUCAUUUGGCACAACUCAGUCUGGACUGUCAGUUGGUGGAUUAGCAUCACAUUGGAAUGACACCA